RNAcentral lists this microRNA (23 nucleotides) under Lytechinus variegatus (green sea urchin). RNAcentral describes it as "lva-miR-2002-3p". The record is from miRBase by way of RNAcentral. RNAcentral also lists the same sequence under 1 other name. Lineage: Eukaryota; Metazoa; Echinodermata; Echinoidea; Temnopleuroida; Toxopneustidae.
UGAAUACAUCUGCUGGUUUUUAU